ACAAAAAUGGAUUCAGGAAGGUUUACUUACUAAAUCACUUUUUCAAUAGUAUGCUCCAAGUUCGUUUAAAUAAUAAAGAUCUGGUUUUAGGUUAUAUUUCAGGAAAGAUCCAACGUAGUUUUGUUUUAUACGUAUACUACCAGGAGAUAGUGUCAAAAAUGAAGUAAGUACUUAUAAUUCGACCAGAGCACGUCUAAUUUAUAGACUCCGAAACAAAAAAUUGAAUGAUUAGGCAGUUUCUUUUAAUUUUGAAAUCUUGAAUU
RNAcentral lists this unclassified non-coding RNA (263 nucleotides) under Hevea brasiliensis (rubber tree). Lineage: Eukaryota; Viridiplantae; Streptophyta; Magnoliopsida; Malpighiales; Euphorbiaceae. The record is from RNAcentral.